Molecule: small nuclear RNA, 128 nt
Organism: Oryctolagus cuniculus (rabbit)
Lineage: Eukaryota; Metazoa; Chordata; Mammalia; Lagomorpha; Leporidae
Gene: U2
Rfam family: U2 spliceosomal RNA
About the family: U2 is a small nuclear RNA (snRNA) component of the spliceosome (involved in pre-mRNA splicing). Complementary binding between U2 snRNA (in an area lying towards the 5' end but 3' to hairpin I) and the branchpoint sequence (BPS) of the intron results the bulging out of an unpaired adenosine, on the BPS, which initiates a nucleophilic attack at the intronic 5' splice site, thus starting the first of two transesterification reactions that mediate splicing.
Source: Ensembl
AUUGUUUCUCAGCCUUUUGGCUAAGAUCAAGUGUAGUAUCUAUUCUUAUCAGUUUAAUAAAUGAAAAUAUAUAUUUCUAAUUUAAUGAAAUAGAUUAAAAAUUUAACCUUUUUCCUACCAUACCCCCC